RNAcentral lists this long non-coding RNA (1668 nucleotides) under Homo sapiens (human). Its description in RNAcentral is "HSALNT0010409". The record is from RNAcentral. Lineage: Eukaryota; Metazoa; Chordata; Mammalia; Primates; Hominidae.
GUUGUCCUAGUGUGAGUAUGAAACCAAAUCAUUCACAAGUACCACUAGUCUGAUUAUUAGUAAUAAUCCACUUGUGAUAUAGCUUUUCUUUACUGACACAAAAUAUUGUUUGACACCAUGGUUGAAACAUUGGUCUUAGGCCAACACUCUCCAUUAUCUGUUGUUGCCAAGCCUUUGAGAGGUGUUUUAUGUGGGCAAAAGGUCCCUUCCUAUCUCUUUGGUCAAAGCAAAGGAGGAGUACAGAUGACUGAGAGAGUGAUCACGCUACUGUGCCCACCUACGAGGUAGAACUUGUUCCUGGGUUGGGAGAUGUUUUAUGACCAGGGUGCAGUAGAAAGAGCAUACAGCUAGCAGUAAAGAGAAGUGGUCCUGAUUGCAGCUCUGCCUCUAACUUCCUGAGUAACCUCAGGCUAGUCACCCAGUGACUGCUCCCCACAUUCCUUUUUGUAAGCUGCCAUGACUGAAUCAGACAAUAGCAUCUAAGUUUCUUCUGAACUCUCAUACUCAGGGAAGCCAAUGAUGUUGGCAGGAUGAGCUACAUAGUUAGUAGGACCCAGCGCAAAAUGAAAAUAUAGGGAUCCUUGAUAAAAAAUUAAGAAUUUCAAGAUGCAACAGCAGAGCAUUGUAAACUAAGCGCACAACCCUUCUGAGAUCAAGGCUUUCUGCAACUGCACAGGUCAUAGCCCUUGAAGCCAGCCUGGUGUCAGCUUCCCAUUAUGAAGCUGGUCUGUCAUUCAGGGCUCAGAAGUUGGAUCUUCCAGGCUGAAAGUGGAAGGAGAGCACAUGUUGUGCUAGUCACAGCCAGAGAUAAUGCAAAGAGGACUUAACAAGGGCCCAGGCACAACACAAAUUGUUAUGAAGAAGAGAAGAGGGCCACCUAGGGACUUAACACAAAAAUGAUCCUCUGUCCACAUCUCCUCUCCAGGUUUCAGUCAUGGUAAGGACUGUCCCAGAUUUCAGAGCCUUCAAAGAAGAUCUUAACUCUAAAACCUGGGCAAAGUCUGGGAUAGCAGUUUGUGUGCCACCUCACUCUCCUGUCUCUUUCUCUCUGAAUAAACAUCUUUUAUCAGGAAGCCCAGCAGAACACAGUCAAGAAGAAGGCAGUAACCUCUCAAGACACUAAGACUUGAUUCAGUGAUGUCAAGAAGUCAAAAGGGGGUUUGUCAACAGAGAAAAGCCAUAGCUACCCUCCAAAUUCUGCUUCUGUGAGUAUUUUUUCUACUCUUUUAAUUGCUUGAAGGAUCUCAUUAAAAUUUCCCAGUUAAAGUGAAAAUUGGAAGGACCACAGAGCAACUGUGAAAGAAUGGCUUUUAACACAAUUUCCAAAUGACAACACAAAAAAGGGAUGUUGCCAACCAUUGGUCCUCUAAAAAAUGAGAAUUCCAAGGAAGUGGGAAAUUUGACCUGAUGAUCUUCUGAAGUCCCUUCCUACCCUAAGUUCUAUGUAAUGUACAAAGACCAGGAUUUGCAAUUGCCCCAUGUCCUAGUCUUCUGAGGCACCUGGAAAACAAAGAUCCAGACUCUACUCAGUGCAUGGAAAUGUCCCUGAACCUUACCUGGAAAGAAAACAGCCCUGCCAGGUAGCCCCUGAAAGAUGUGUUUUGCAAUGGCAGCAGAUGGAAACUGUCCCCCACACCCCUUUGCAAAUCUAGCAAGCCAUCCUGCAAA